Molecule: ribosomal RNA, 397 nt
Filed under: uncultured bacterium
Lineage: Bacteria
Description: partial 16S ribosomal RNA
Rfam family: Bacterial small subunit ribosomal RNA
Source: RNAcentral
AUACGUAGGUGGCAAGCGUUGUCCGGAAUUACUGGGUGUAAAGGGUGCGUAGGCGGGGAUGCAAGUCAGAUGUGAAAUCUAUCGGCUCAACUGGUAAACUGCAUUUGAAACUGCAUUUCUUGGGUGGUGGAGAGGUAAGCGGAAUUCCUAGUGUAGCGGUGAAAUGCGUAGAUAUUAGGAGGAACACCAGUGGCGAAGGCGGCUUACUGGACACUAACUGACGCUGAGGCACGAAAGCAUGGGGAGCAAACAGGAUUAGAUACCCUGGUAGUCCAUGCCGUAAACGAUGAUUACUAGGUGUAGGGGGUAUCGACCCCUUCUGUGCCGGAGUUAACACAAUAAGUAAUCCACCUGGGGAGUACGGCCGCAAGGUUGAAACUCAAAUGAAUUGGCGGGG